Molecule: ribosomal RNA, 251 nt
Filed under: uncultured bacterium
Lineage: Bacteria
Description: partial 16S ribosomal RNA
Rfam family: Bacterial small subunit ribosomal RNA
Source: RNAcentral
AUACGAAGGGGGCUAGCGUUGCUCGGAAUGACUGGGCGUAAAGGGCGUGUAGGCGGUUUACACAGUCAGAUGUGAAAUCCCCGGGCUUAACCGUGGGAGCUGCAUUUGAUACGUGUAGACUAGAGUGUGAGAGAGGGUUGUGGAAUUCCCAGUGUAGAGGUGAAAUUCGUAGAUAUUGGGAAGAACACCGGUGGCGAAGGCGGCAACCUGGCUCAUGACUGACGCUGGAGGCGACGAAAGCGGUGGGGAGC